This 252-nucleotide ribosomal RNA is filed under the name uncultured bacterium. Its description in RNAcentral is "partial 16S ribosomal RNA". It matches the Rfam family "Bacterial small subunit ribosomal RNA", at positions 524 to 776 of the family's 1533-position model. The record is from RNAcentral.
UACGAAGGGGGCUAGCGUUGCUCGGAUUGACUGGGCGUAAAGGGCGCGUAGGCGGUUCGUACAGUCAGACGUGAAAUUCCUGGGCUCAACCUGGGGACUGCGCUUGAGACGUGUGGGCUUGAGUGGGGAAGAGGGUCGUGGAAUUCCCAGUGUAGAGGUGAAAUUCGUAGAUAUUGGGAAGAACACCGGUGGCGAAGCGGCGACCUGGUCCUUUACUGACGCUGAGGAGCGAAAGCGUGGGGAGCAAACAGG